Heterocephalus glaber (naked mole-rat) is the source of this 1788-nucleotide long non-coding RNA. Lineage: Eukaryota; Metazoa; Chordata; Mammalia; Rodentia; Bathyergidae. The record is from Ensembl.
AGCAGCUUGAAGCAACAAACAUGUUAUUCCCCACAGUUUCUAACUCAAAAAUCUAGAUGUAGCUUGCCUAAUGUUCAACUUGAGAUUUCUUAAGUCAGUAGUCAAGUUGUCGGCCAGGGCUGCAUCAUCUUGAAGGCCUGACUAAGGCUGGAGAAGUGGACCUUCAAGGUGGCUCGCUCACAUGGCCUUUGGGCCUCAGCGCCUCACGAUGAACAUCUCCAAAAAGCUGCCUGGCUGACAGCAUCUAAAUUCCCCCAGAGCAGGUAAUCCAAGAGAACAAACAGAAGCUCUCUUCAUGACCAAAUAUAGCACCAUGGUACACCAAGGGAUGGGACUACACAAGGAUGUGAAUGCUGGGAAAUGGGGGUUAUUGGGUUUUGUAGGCUAACUGGCUGUCACAGUGCUUAGGAAAAAUGUUGGGCUUUGUUAAUUACAAAGUCAGUUGGUAACAUGUUUUAUUAGUCUGAAGGGAUUCCUAAAUGAUAAAGCAAUGUACUUUGUAAUUCAAUGUAAAAGAAUUAGGGAGUGGACAUAAUUGUACUCUUGUGGUUAGGUUUUCAGAGGGGGAUUAAUCUGUCUCAGACUCAGCAAUGAGCAUACAGAAACUUCAAGGCACAGGAAAUUAAUCCUGUUUUACGAUACAGUCAAGUAACAUUACUGAGUCAGAUUUUUAAAUGUAGGUAUGAUUUGGCAAAACAUGGAGAAAUGUGAUGUUAUAUCUGUUACUAGGGCAGAAAUUCUCAACCUUUGAAUUCUGCAGCAUUCAAAACACUUGAUUUCUUAGGUAAAAAUUAUCUAGAAUUAAAAGUCUGGUGCAGAAAUAAUUGGGAGCUGAAAGUAAUGUGAAGCAGUUGCUACUUAAAGUCUUGUAUGUGGCCUUUUUUUGAGGGGGUACCGGGGAUCGAACUUGGGUCCUUGCACUUGCAAGGCAGGUGGCAGAACCACUGAGCUACAUCCGCGGCCCAUGUGGCCUUUUUAUGUUUGUGAUAAAAGCUUAAAUUCAACAUAUAAGGAGAUACCUAUUUGGGUAGAGUAUUUUGGACUUUCUGAAAAUGAAUUAGACAUUCCUAAUUUAUUUACUGACCUCAAAACCUCCGCAGGCGUGGUAGUGCAUGCCUGCAAUCUCAGCAUAUGGAAGGCGGAAGCAGGGGACUGCAAGUUGGAGGUUUGCCUGGGCUGCUUAGACCCUGUCUCAAAAAUAAAAAACAAAACCCAACCUCAGGUUAUCUGAGCUCAUGAGGGAUCUAAAUGUCUAAAGCAUAUUUUCAAUGUCUGUAGCUUUAACAGUAUCUGAUUAAAGGGUCUGUCUUUUUUUGUUGUUAUUACCGGGAACGGACUUAAAGGGUCUUUUUUGGACCAAGUUUCUGGAGCUCUCCCACCCCCAUCCUCAGUAGGAAUUGAACCCAGGACCCUCUACAUUGAACUAUAUUUGCAGUCCUUUUUUUUUUUUAUUUUGACGAAGGGUCUCAUGUCACUUAAGUUGCCCAGGCUGGGCUUGACCUUGGGAUCGUGCCUCAGCCUCCCAGAGUGCUGGGUUACAAAUGUGUGCUAACACAUCCAGCUUUAGUUAUUCAUCUUUGAGAAACGAUAUUGGCAGUAUCAACAGUCUUCUAUAAAGAUUUGGACAAUCUUGAAUUUGACUUGUCAACAAUAGCAAUCUCCAACCAUGAAGUGUAAUAAAACCAUCAGAUACUACAAGUGUAUUAAAUUGUUUCUACAAAUGUAUUGUGUACUGCUCUUCCAAGCUCUGGGGAUAUGGUAGUGACCAUGCCACAUAAGACCCAUGGG